Molecule: antisense RNA, 75 nt
Filed under: Streptomyces alboflavus
Lineage: Bacteria; Bacillati; Actinomycetota; Actinomycetes; Kitasatosporales; Streptomycetaceae
Description: ASpks TB sRNA
Rfam family: ASpks TB sRNA
Source: Rfam by way of RNAcentral
CUUGACGGAGCCGAGCCACAGCGGUCGGGUGCGCGGCCGCCCCUGCCCGUAGGUGGCGAGGAGCGCCUGCGCCUC